This is a long non-coding RNA of Osmerus eperlanus (European smelt), 1160 nucleotides long. RefSeq lists it as uncharacterized. The transcript has 3 exons. The record is from RefSeq and is a predicted model, not a curated record. Lineage: Eukaryota; Metazoa; Chordata; Actinopteri; Osmeriformes; Osmeridae.
UAGAACUACUAGCACCAAACUGAACACAAACCUAACCUUCCUGAACUGGGGGGAAAGGUCACUCUGUCUAAUGAGGGGGAGGAGCAGCUAUGACAGCACCUGCCAAAUGAACCCCUCUGUGCUGAGUCACUCUGGAGGCCCAGAUGGAUUCUGUCACAACAUUGAUCCUCUUUCUACAGGCUGUCAGGCUGUCUGGUCACAGAGGAAGGCUGUGCUUCUCUGGCCUCAGCUCUGAGGUCCAACCCCUUCCACCUGAGGGAACUGGACCUGAGCUACAAUCAUCCAGGAGAAAAAGGAUUGAAGCUGCUCUCUGCUGGACUGGAGGAUUCACACUGCAGACUGGAGAAACUCAAUGUGGAUCAUGGUGGAGAGUGCAGGAUCAAACCUGGUCUUAGGAAAUAUGCCUGUGAGCUCACACUGGACCCAAACACAGCAUGCAGACGCCUCUCUCUGUCUGAGGAGAACAGAAAGGUGACAAGGAGAGAGGAGCAGCCGUAUCCUGAUCACCCAGAGAGAUUUGAGUACUGUCCACAGGUGCUGUGUAGAGAGGGUCUGUCUGGGCGCUGUUACUGGGAGGCAGAGUGGAGUGGAGGAAGGGUUGAUAUAGCAGUGACAUAUAAAGGAAUCAGCAGGAGAGGAAGGGGUGCUGACUGUGAGCUUGGAUCCAAUAACAAGUCCUGGAGUCUGGUGUGUCGUGAUAACACUUACUCUGCCUGUCACAAUAAUAAGGACACUGUCAUACCUGCCCCCCCUCCCACAGAGUAGGAGUGUAUCUGGACUGGCCGGCCGGCACUCUGUCCUUCUACACAGUCUCCUCUGACACACUGACCCACCUGCACACAUUCCACAGCACAUUCACUGAGCCCCUCUAUCCUGGGUUCUGGGUUCAUUAUGACUCCUCAGUGUCCCUGUGUCAGGUAGAAUAGCCCACACACACUCUCACACACUGUGCUCACAUAGAUGUCAUUGAAGAUUGAACUGUAUACAGUUGUAAUUGAUAUCCCAGAGUGUUUGUAAAUAUUGGUGUGUGUAGAAUGUUUGUUUUGUUUUCAUUGUUGACAAACAACAUUCCUGUCUUUGAUCUCAGUUCCACUGAAUGUGAUGAACUAAAUAGUGUCUUACUGCCUAAAUAAGGAGAAAUAAAGAUGUUUUAUACAGGA